CCAAUAGCGUAUAUUAAAGUUGUUGCAGUUAAAAAGCUCGUAGUUGAAUUUCGGGAUCAAGGAAUCGGUCAUGCCUUGGUAUGUACUGGUUUUAUUGGUUCUCACCUUCCAAAGAACCAUAAUGUCAUUUAUUUGAUGUUAUGGGGAAUUAGGACGGUUACCUUGAAAAAAUUAGAGUGUUUUAAACUGGCGCACGCCUGAAUACAUUAGCAUGGAAUAAUGAAAUAGGACGUUUGAUUCUAUUUUGUUGGUUUCUAGGAUCGAGGUAAUGAUUAAUAUGGAUAGUUGGGGGCAUUAGUAUUCAAUUGUCAGAGGUGAAAUUCUUGGAUUUAUUGAAGACUAACUACUGCGAAAGCAUUUGCCAAGGAUGUUUUCAUUAAUCAAGAACGAAAGUUAGGGGAUCGAAGACGAUCAGAUACCGUCGUAGUCUUAACCAUAAACUAUGCCGACUAGGGAUCGGAUGAUGUUAAUUUUUUAAUGACUCAUUCGGCGCCUUACG
This 499-nucleotide ribosomal RNA is filed under the name uncultured Glomeromycotina. Its description in RNAcentral is "partial small subunit ribosomal RNA". It matches the Rfam family "Eukaryotic small subunit ribosomal RNA", at positions 591 to 1092 of the family's 1831-position model. Lineage: Eukaryota; Fungi; Glomeromycota. The record is from RNAcentral.